CAGUAGCCACGGUAAUACGUAGGUGGCAAGCGUUGUCCGGAAUUAUUGGGCGUAAAGGGCUCGCAGGCGGUUUCUUAAGUCUGAUGUGAAAGCCCCCGGCUCAACCGGGGAGGGUCAUUGGAAACUGGGAAACUUGAGUGCAGAAGAGGAGAGUGGAAUUCCACGUGUAGCAGUGAAAUGCGUAGAGAUGUGGAGGAACACCAGUGGCGAAGGCGACUCUCAGGUCUGUAACUGACGCUGAGGAGCGAAAGCGUGGGGAGCGAACGGGAUUAGAUACCCCCGUAGUCCCUGUCUCUUAUAC
RNAcentral lists this ribosomal RNA (301 nucleotides) under uncultured bacterium. Its description in RNAcentral is "partial 16S ribosomal RNA". It matches the Rfam family "Bacterial small subunit ribosomal RNA", at positions 509 to 807 of the family's 1533-position model. The record is from RNAcentral.